This 403-nucleotide ribosomal RNA is filed under the name uncultured bacterium. Its description in RNAcentral is "bacterial SSU rRNA". It matches the Rfam family "Bacterial small subunit ribosomal RNA", at positions 360 to 773 of the family's 1533-position model. The record is from RNAcentral.
AAUAUUGCACAAUGGGCGCAAGCCUGAUGCAGCGACGCCGCGUGAGGGAUGACGGCCUUCGGGUUGUAAACCUCUUUCAGUAGGGAAGAAGCUUUCGGGUGACGGUACCUGCAGAAGAAGCGCCGGCUAACUACGUGCCAGCAGCCGCGGUAAUACGUAGGGCGCAAGCGUUAUCCGGAAUUAUUGGGCGUAAAGAGCUCGUAGGCGGUUUGUCGCGUCUGCCGUGAAAGUCCGGGGCUCAACUCCGGAUCUGCGGUGGGUACGGGCAGACUAGAGUGAUGUAGGGGAGACUGGAAUUCCUGGUGUAGCGGUGAAAUGCGCAGAUAUCAGGAGGAACACCGGUGGCGAAGGCGGGUCUCUGGGCCGAUACUGACGCUGAGGAGCGAAAGCGUGGGGAGCGAAC